RNAcentral lists this ribosomal RNA (374 nucleotides) under uncultured prokaryote. RNAcentral describes it as "partial 16S ribosomal RNA". The record is from RNAcentral.
CCCUAGGGGUGCAGCAGGCAACUACGGCAUUGUUCACCGGGAGUCACCUGAUCCCCGGGGUAUAGACCUGGCUCUGCUCUACCGGCGCGACCGUUUCUCGGUGGCAGAGACUGAAGCCUGGCUACCGGCGGUUCAUGACAGCAUUCCUGUCUCAACAAGAAACAUUCUGUACGUAAAAGUGAAGGCAGGAGCGGACACUCUUCACCUUGUUCUCUGUCAUCUUCCCUCGCGGAGAGGAGGGGUGCUGGCGGCCGGCGACCUGCGGGAAACCAUGGUCAGUCUGGCCGGUGACGGGAUUGACUCCAUCAUGAGCACCUCCUCCGGGAGAACUUCAGUGAUAGUCAUGGGCGACUUCAACACCCCUCCCGGAGAGC